UAUACAUAUAUAUUUAUUAAGAAACCCAUUUUCCUGAAAAGAUCAGGGGCUUUUUAAAGCUUUGGCAAAUACAAAUUAUGACAAACUGUUCCAGGUUUUAUACAAAAUGAUACCACAAUUUAACAAAUAAAACUCCAAGCAGCUGCACUGACUGAUCAA
This is a long non-coding RNA of Nanorana parkeri, 159 nucleotides long. RefSeq lists it as uncharacterized. The transcript is spliced from 3 exons. NCBI's taxonomy places the organism in Eukaryota, Metazoa, Chordata, Amphibia, Anura, Dicroglossidae. The record is from RefSeq and is a predicted model, not a curated record.